Molecule: ribosomal RNA, 2075 nt
Filed under: Janthinobacterium lividum PAMC 25724
Lineage: Bacteria; Pseudomonadati; Pseudomonadota; Betaproteobacteria; Burkholderiales; Oxalobacteraceae
Description: bacterial LSU rRNA
Rfam family: Bacterial large subunit ribosomal RNA
Source: RNAcentral
ACAAGCGAAUAAGUGCACAUGGUGGAUGCCUUGGCGAUUACAGGCGAUGAAGGACGUAGUAGCUUGCGAUAAGCUGCGGGGAGUGAGCAAACACACUUUGAUCCGCAGAUUUCCGAAUGGGGCAACCCACCCUUUUAGGGUAUUGCAUACUGAAUACAUAGGUAUGCAAGGCGAACGCGGCGAACUGAAACAUCUAAGUAGCUGCAGGAAAAGAAAUCAACCGAGAUUCCCAAAGUAGCGGCGAGCGAAAUGGGAAGAGCCUGUACGUGAUAGUCGGACUGAUAGAAGAAUCCUCUGGAAAUAGGAACCGUAGCGGGUGAUAGUCCCGUAUUCGAAAUCAGACCGGUGAUACUAAGCGUACGACAAGUAGGGCGGGACACGUGACAUCCUGUCUGAAUAUGGGGGGACCAUCCUCCAAGGCUAAAUACUCGUAAUCGACCGAUAGUGAACCAGUACCGUGAGGGAAAGGCGAAAAGAACCCCGGAAGGGGAGUGAAAUAGAUCCUGAAACCGUGUGCAUACAAACAGUAGGAGCGGACUUGUUCCGUGACUGCGUACCUUUUGUAUAAUGGGUCAGCGACUUACAUUCAGUGGCAAGGUUAACCAUAUAGGGAAGCCGUAGAGAAAUCGAGUCCGAAUAGGGCGAUCAGUCGCUGGGUGUAGACCCGAAACCAAGUGAUCUACUCAUGGCCAGGAUGAAGGUGCGGUAACACGCCCUGGAGGUCCGAACCCACUAAUGUUGAAAAAUUAGGGGAUGAGCUGUGGGUAGGGGUGAAAGGCUAAACAAACUUGGAAAUAGCUGGUUCUCUCCGAAAACUAUUUAGGUAGUGCCUCAAGUAUCACCAUCGGGGGUAGAGCACUGUUAUGGCUAGGGGGUCAUUGCGACUUACCAAACCAUUGCAAACUCCGAAUACCGAUGAGUGUGAGCUUGGGAGACAGACGUCGGGUGCUAACGUCCGGCGUCAAGAGGGAAACAACCCAGACCGCCAGCUAAGGUCCCAAAGAUUGGCUAAGUGGAAAACGAAGUGGGAAGGCUAAAACAGUCAGGAUGUUGGCUUAGAAGCAGCCAUCAUUUAAAGAAAGCGUAAUAGCCCACUGAUCGAGUCGUCCUGCGCGGAAGAUGUAACGGGGCUAAGCCAGUCACCGAAGCUGCGGAUAUGUGCGCUCCUUUAAGCGCAUUGAUAGAGCAGAGCUGGGCGAUACUUACUUGCGAAGCAAGUUAGUAGAGACCAAAGCUCUUGCGAACAUCGAGUGUAUUUAAAGGAGCGCACAUAUGGUAGGAGAGCGUUCUGUAAGCCUGCGAAGGUGUCUUGUAAAGGAUGCUGGAGGUAUCAGAAGUGCGAAUGCUGACAUGAGUAGCGAUAAUGGGGGUGAAAAGCCUCCACGCCGUAAGCCCAAGGUUUCCUGUUCAACGUUCAUCGGAGCAGGGUGAGUCGGCCCCUAAGGCGAGGCAGAGAUGCGUAGCUGAUGGGAAGCAGGUUAAUAUUCCUGCACCGUCGUAUGAUGCGAUGGGGGGACGGAUCGCGGAAGGUUGUCCAACUGUUGGAAUAGUUGGUUUUUGGCUCAUAGAAGGCGCUUAGGCAAAUCCGGGCGCAGGAUUCAAGGGGUUGAGACGAGUGAAUUUAUUCAUGAAGCAAUCGGAAGUGGUUCCAAGAAAAGCCUCUAAGCUUCAGUCAUACGAGACCGUACCGCAAACCGACACAGGUGGGCGAGAUGAGUAUUCUAAGGCGCUUGAGAGAACUCGGGAGAAGGAACUCGGCAAAUUGGUACCGUAACUUCGGGAAAAGGUACGCCCCGGUAGCUUGAUUGGUUUACUCCAUGAGGGUGAAAGGGUUGCAAUAAACUGGUGGCUGCGACUGUUUAAUAAAAACACAGCACUCUGCAAACACGAAAGUGGACGUAUAGGGUGUGACGCCUGCCCGGUGCUGGAAGAUUAAAUGAUGGGGUGCAAGCUCUUGAUUGAAGUCCCAGUAAACGGCGGCCGUAACUAUAACGGUCCUAAGGUAGCGAAAUUCCUUGUCGGGUAAGUUCCGACCUGCACGAAUGGCGUAACGAUGGCCACACUGUCUCCUCCCG